UGUCGGUGUAGAGCAGCCCGGUAGCUCGUCAGGCUCAUAACCUGAAGGCCGCAGGUUCAAAUCCUGCCCCCGCAACCA
Molecule: transfer RNA, 78 nt
Filed under: Agrobacterium tumefaciens
Lineage: Bacteria; Pseudomonadati; Pseudomonadota; Alphaproteobacteria; Hyphomicrobiales; Rhizobiaceae
Also listed under: 1 other name
Description: tRNA-Met
Rfam family: tRNA
About the family: Transfer RNA (tRNA) molecules are approximately 80 nucleotides in length.
Source: RNAcentral